UACGAAGGGGGCGAGCGUUGCUCGGAAUUACUGGGCGUAAAGGGCGCGUAGGCGGCUAGGUAAGUCAGAGGUGAAAGCCCAGGGCUCAACCUUGGAAUUGCCUUUGAUACUGGCUAUCUUGAGGACGGAAGAGGUAUGUGGAACUCCGAGUGUAGAGGUGAAAUUCGUAGAUAUUCGGAAGAACACCAGUGGCGAAGGCGACAUCCUGGUCCGUUACUGACGCUGAGGCUCGAAAGCGUGGGGAGCAAACAGG
Molecule: ribosomal RNA, 253 nt
Filed under: uncultured bacterium
Lineage: Bacteria
Description: partial 16S ribosomal RNA
Rfam family: Bacterial small subunit ribosomal RNA
Source: RNAcentral